GCGCUCUUGCCUUCGGGGGCGGGUCGCUGGGCCCCUGCGGUGGACAGACCGGUCUUUGCAGAGCAGGUUGUCAGAGUACAAGUCUUCCAAGAAGAUGGAGAGUUGCUCCCUUAAUAAAUUGUGGAUCUGGGAUGGAAAGAAUACUUUUGGAGAAAGAUACCGAGAUACAAAUACCGAGAAUGGAUCACAACAUGUUCUCAAGACUGUGCACCACGCAGCUGCUCUCAACCAAGUAAAAUUGCCCCUC
Long non-coding RNA from Myotis davidii, 247 nucleotides. RefSeq lists it as uncharacterized. Lineage: Eukaryota; Metazoa; Chordata; Mammalia; Chiroptera; Vespertilionidae. The transcript is spliced from 3 exons. The record is from RefSeq and is a predicted model, not a curated record.